CCUACGGGUGGCAGCAGUGGGGAAUAUUGGACAAUGGGGGCAACCCUGAUCCAGCCAUGCCGCGUGUGUGAAGAAGGCCCUCGGGUUGUAAAGCACUUUCAGUGAGGAAGAACGCCUGGUGGUUAAUACCCAUCAGGAAAGACAUCACUCACAGAAGAAGCAUCGGCUAACUCCGUGCCAGCAGCCGCGGUAAUACGGAGGGUGCGAGCGUUAAUCGGAAUUACUGGGCGUAAAGCGCGCGUAGGUGGCUUGAUAAGCCGGUUGUGAAAGCCCCGGGCUCAACCUGGGAACGGCAUCCGGAACUGUCAAGCUAGAGUGCAGGAGAGGAAGGUAGAAUUCCCGGUGUAGCGGUGAAAUGCGUAGAGAUCGGGAGGAAUACCAGUGGCGAAGGCGGCCUUCUGGACUGACACUGACACUGAGGUGCGAAAGCGUGGGUAGCAAACAGGAUUAGAUACCCUGGUAGUC
This 465-nucleotide ribosomal RNA is filed under the name Vreelandella stevensii. RNAcentral's name for it is "partial 16S ribosomal RNA". It matches the Rfam family "Bacterial small subunit ribosomal RNA", at positions 338 to 795 of the family's 1533-position model. Lineage: Bacteria; Pseudomonadati; Pseudomonadota; Gammaproteobacteria; Oceanospirillales; Halomonadaceae. The record is from RNAcentral.